This is a non-coding RNA of Labrus bergylta (ballan wrasse), 460 nucleotides long. The record is from RefSeq and is a predicted model, not a curated record. NCBI's taxonomy places the organism in Eukaryota, Metazoa, Chordata, Actinopteri, Labriformes, Labridae.
ACUAAAACUGAGUUCUGCAGAGUCCCGAACUGAAAAACACAAAACACCUCAUCUUUCUUCAAUAUCAUCAUGUUCUCCUCCCUCUGUUGGGACUUAUUCAUCAUUUCCUCCAACCAAAUCUGUCCUUCCUACCAGGGUGCUCAGUGGACAAAAAGUGGUAUGCUCUUUUGUGUGCUGGUGCCCCACCACAUAGAGCAGGCGCCCUUUUUCACCCCCGCCGCUCAAGAAUUCUCAGUCCGCCAAUCCGCUGACGGGUUCCAGGAUUGCAUCAUGGCAGAUCGGUGCUACUACUUGCAGUGGCAGCAGGUUGUGCUCCAGUUGUGUCAGUGGGCAAAAGUCGGUGGGCUGAUUGAAGCCUAAAUGAUCAGAACAUGAUGGGGGAGGGAGCCAUGACACCUGUCAAUCAUUUACAUGUCUGAAGUGACUGGAAGACGAUGCUUCAUCUCAGCAAAAAAAAAAA